RNAcentral lists this ribosomal RNA (232 nucleotides) under Saponaria calabrica. The record is from RNAcentral. Lineage: Eukaryota; Viridiplantae; Streptophyta; Magnoliopsida; Caryophyllales; Caryophyllaceae.
UCACGCAUCGCGUCUCCCCUACAAAUCACCUUGAUAUUGAGGGGAAGGAGGAUGGCUUCCCGUGCCUCACCGGGCGCGGCUGGCCUAAAUAUGGAGCCAACGGCACGGAGUUGCUGCGGCGUUUGGUGGUGAACAAGGCCUCGGCCGAGCAAACAACCCGCUGCGGAACCCUUGCUACAUUGGACUCGCAGGACCCUUUGACGUUGCUUCUAGCACGGCAAACCUUUGCGAC